This is a long non-coding RNA of Herpailurus yagouaroundi (jaguarundi), 2272 nucleotides long. RefSeq lists it as uncharacterized. The transcript is spliced from 4 exons. The record is from RefSeq and is a predicted model, not a curated record. Lineage: Eukaryota; Metazoa; Chordata; Mammalia; Carnivora; Felidae.
GCCGAAGUCGGACGCUUCACCGACCGAGCCACCCAGGCAGCACAGGAUCCUAAGUCAAGGACACGCGGGGACACAGAGAAGUCCCCAGGAGAAACCUGGCUUCCUUGCUUUUCUGUCCUGCUGUGUGCCAGGCCCCGAGGGCAUCCUGCCGGGGAGACAAGCCCCGCAGGGUGAAAAGCGCCCAAAGACAGCAAAUGCCAGCUGCCGUGCCCAGAAUCCUGACACUGGCAUUGUGCCACACAGCGUGCGCCCGAGGUGCCCUCGCCGAGGACUCGGGACGGAGUCACGGUGCCCCUGCUUUGGAAACAAAGACACGAGACCCACCCUCUGCCUGGAGAGCCGACUCCCCUCAGGGAAUCUUUCAGGUCAAGUUCAAACAUCACCCCCUCUGAUCUGAAGUGAAGACCCCCCCCCCUUUGGGCUGUGACCCUCGGCCUCAAGUGUGAGUUGUGCUCAGACACAGGAAGCUUCAGCAGCCGGGAGCCCGUCUCCUCCCCCUCCCCCUCCUCCUCCCAGUUUGAGGGCCGGGGCCCCCCCCCCCCGCCAUUCGCCACCCCUUCUCCGUCUGGGUAGAGCGGGCAGUGGGCGCUCAGUGGACACCCACAGUGAGGACAGCAAGUCCCGCUCGGCUCCCAUGCUUGUGCACUGUCUGGGGGCCGAACAGGCCCUCGCGGCUGUAGGGCCGGGGGGGCCUCUGCACCCACCCGCCCCCUCCACCCGCAGCAAAAGCAAAGCCAGGGCGUCUAGAAUAUCAGGGUGUUCGGUCACCCAGCCCGGCGCCCCCUCCUGGAAGCCUGCCGAGCACAGACUGGGGAAGGAGGGGUGGAAACACCAAAGUCAUUUCUCCCCCACUUGCUAGUGAGGCCCCGGGCCUCCCUGUGCGUUGCUUCGUAGUCUAACGCUCUUUGUUCCGGAAGCAGGCCCGUGCGGUGGCCCGAGCGGGGACUAGCGUUGCUGACGGAGAGCUCAGCGAGCUCAGGGCCUGAGAAGGCUCGGGCCCCGAAAGAGAGACAGAGAUGGCCACUCUGCGUGCCCGUCCCCUCUGCUUCGAGGCAGGGAGGGGUCCCAGAGCGAGCGCCUGCCCCGAGGAGGUCCCGCACUCCGUGCCUCGGGGACUUGGUGGCACAGCGGACACCUCUGAGAUCCGAAGGGACUCCCCUGGCCCAUGGGCGGCUCCGCGAGGCCGGGGAAGAAGUCAGGAGCGUCAGGAAGCCUUGGCACGGAGGCCCCAGGGUCCCGACAGCCCCGGGGCAGGAAGGGGAGGCCAGGGCACGGCCCCUCCAGAACAGCCCCGAAUGGUCUGUUGUCUCGGCUGGGCCUCCGCGGGACCUCAUACCCCACCGCACGAUGCCAAGGUCACGAGGCGGCCCCCCUCUGCGGCACCGGGCAGGCGCGUUACGUUUGGCCCACACGACGGCUUGAAGCGGAAUUUUGUUUUAAUUUUUAAAAAUCGGCCGUUGGCAGAGUUUACAUAAAAUUCAGCAUUUCUGCUCUUGCACGGUUCUCCGAGCUGGCGACGCGGUGCCUCUCUUUCUGCUUGGCCACGCGCAGCUGGAGCUCUGCUGGCGGUGCCCCCUUCCGACCGGAAGGUCAAGGGCGUUGGAUCUGUGGCCACCGAGCCGCGGCUUCCACCUGCCCAGCCCUCAGACUGCUCUCAACCUCCUCGCUCAGGAAGGAGGCCGAGCACAGUGCAUUUGCCCGCCUCCCUUGACCGCCACCCGGACCGAUCCGGUGGGUUCGGCCAGCGAGGCCGCCCUGGGAGCCGCUGUGGCCGGGUGAACGCGAAGUCAGACGUCUUCAAGGGAUGGCACCAAGGCAGGCUACCGGCCAGGGGGGCCCCGCACCUGCCCGCCGCCACGGUGGCGAGCACUCUGGAAUGCUCUCCGGAGCCCCGAAGGCCAGGUGCAAAAGCGUCUCUCUCCUUGCCCCUCACGCGUAGAUAAUGCCUCCGACGGAGCACCCGGAAGGCGCGGUCCAGACGUCGGACACUGGCCGUCCCAAACUGCGCUUGGCUCAGCAGUCACCGGUGGGGAGGCCUGGUGGCUUUCUGUUCCUCCUCACGUAACGCCUCAGAGACCCCACCUCUCGGGGUGGGUUGUAUAGACGGUGCCGUGAAUGUGGAGGGGCGUCUCUGUGCAUGUGGGUACAGCGGCGGGUCUGUGGGCACGGCGGCGGGUCUGUGGGCACGGCGGCGGGUCUGUGGGCACAACAGCGGGUUUGUGGGCACGGCGGCGGGUCCGUGGGCACGGCGGCGGGUCCGUGGGCACGGCGG